Long non-coding RNA from Girardinichthys multiradiatus, 925 nucleotides. RefSeq lists it as uncharacterized. NCBI's taxonomy places the organism in Eukaryota, Metazoa, Chordata, Actinopteri, Cyprinodontiformes, Goodeidae. The transcript has 3 exons. The record is from RefSeq and is a predicted model, not a curated record.
GAAGUAGAAUUUGGGGUAAUUUCAUUACAAUCACACCUCGCCUUGACGCUUAAAAAUCAAAAGACCUUUUCUUUUGAUUCCUGCUCAGAUGCGAAAGCUGUGAAACUUUUUCUCAACUUAAUUUUUCAAAGUGAAACACUCAAAGAACCAGUUACCACGUCUGAGACCAGUAAAGCAAAAAAAGGCACAACAAUGAGCAUCUUCCCUGUUUGCCUGCUUGUCUGUUUGCUGCUGGUCCAGGUUGUUUCCCCUGAGACGAUUGAAGAAUCAGAAAAAGGCUUUCAGGAGUUUGUUAGACAGCAUAUUAUUGAAGCCAUGGAUCCAAACGACUGCACAAGAGAGAUGAAAAAAAUAAACUUAAUAAAGAAGGUCAGUACAAAAGAUAGAAACAAAAAAGAUGACACCAAAGGACCAAAGAAAAUCAACACAUUCAUCAUUGCUAAUGAAAAUGACAUGAAAGCCAUUUGUGAUGGCCUAACUGAAACAAAAAAAAAAAAAGUAAAAAAAGAUUUAACGUGGUUGUCUGUAAGCUUAUAGAGACAGGGCACUAUGAAGGCAGCAGAAAGGAUGACCAAAUUCUUGAGGUACAAUGUGCAAAUAAUUUACCUGUGCAUUUUUGCAAACAAAUAAGCGGUAAUAAAUAAUUGUGCUCUGCAUCCCCCACAUCCUCUGCUCAGCAAUCAGAAAGCAGAUAUUAAUAAUCUUUUAUCAUGUGCCCUAUAAUAUAUCUUAUCACUAUGUUAAUAAAGGUACAUUGUACGCUAAGCAUCAAACUAUUUUCUUCUUUCUCAAGUGUAACUAGUUUUGCAUGACCUUUUAUUAUGGUACCUAUAUCUGUUUCAUUGCAUUUAAAGAAUAAUCCAGGAAUUAAACAAUGAUAGCUUUUGAUCACACAUUGUUCAAUGAAUAAAGAAAUAAAACUCAA